Long non-coding RNA from Harpegnathos saltator (Jerdon's jumping ant), 978 nucleotides. RefSeq lists it as uncharacterized. The transcript has 2 exons. NCBI's taxonomy places the organism in Eukaryota, Metazoa, Arthropoda, Insecta, Hymenoptera, Formicidae. The record is from RefSeq and is a predicted model, not a curated record.
UUUUUUUUUUGCAAUUUUUGACAGUUUAACAUCUGUAGAAUAAUAUCCUGAAAUGUUAUGGUCGUAUCUGAAAUAUUUUAGAAACGGCAGAUAUGAAACGACAGCGCAGCUGGUCGGGGGCCAUAAACUCGAUCUCGCCGGCGAGGAAGGACGCCGGGCAGUUGCGGUAGUUCUUAGGCUUUGACGUAAUCGUUUAUACUUCAAAGAUAGAAAAGAGAGCCUGGUAGUUCCAAGGACUCACAAUAAUCCCUUUAUGUUUGUACGAAAGCGUUGUUGGCAGCUCAAAAUGUUUCGAAGCCGCUCGACGCAGGUAUACGUAAGCGGCCCGUUUAGUUCACUUUUAGCCACUGUGCAGAGCACAUCGCAGCGCGAAUUUCAUUCAAAAUGAGUGGGAAAAGUCAAUCUAGUGUUCAAAAAGGCACACACGAUACUCUAGCGCGUAGAAGUACCAAUAAGAAAAGAAAGUUCCAGGGAAAUCGACACACACUGGAGUGUGUCGAUUAUGCAAAAAACGAGACAUGAGACGAAUGAUGGUAGCAGAAAAACGGCACCACGAGGCUUUAAAGGAGGCUCGGACAGCUCGCAGGACAGCUGGAGCGGCCCAGCAACAAUUUUUCGAACAAGAGGAAGGCGAAUUAUAUGGGCCUGGAAUAGCUGAAUAGCUGCACUCUGACGUCACUUAUCGCUGCAGCAGUUGGGCUAAUUUUUUUUUUACCUCCGGGAAAUUACUAAUAUUUCCAAUAUAUGUCAAUAUUUUUUCGUAAUAUAAUUUUUAUAACUUCUUUAAAUGUUACCUAAUAUAGCCUCAAACUUUUAAAAUAUAUGGCAGAAUAGUUUUUUUUUAAUCCUCGAAAAUCGCCCUCAUUUUCAUGUGGUCACAUUAGGUAGCCCCUUAAAGUGCUUUCCCCAGUAGGCCUACUCCACUAAAUAAUAAAGAACAAAUACGAUAAAAUGUAUGGCUCGGUAGGGAAACAAAAU